GUCUGUUGAACGCGCCCAUUGGAAUAGCUGAUCAUUUCCGGUCCGACCACCGACUGAUCGACCACGUUCUCACACGUUCUCCUCGCAUAUCUGCGCGCAUCAAGGGAAACGCAUAAGUAUUUUUGAGACUGCUGUCCUGCCUUUGCAUCUCACUGCAGCUGCACCGAAGUCGCUGUAUCGCUUUUUGUGGGAAAAACACGCUAUGUACCUAACACGCUAUGUCCUUGAAUUAAUUACAUAAACCUGUGUGUUCAAUUAACCCGAUAAAGCAUAGCACACAGGUGUGUGACGAACUACGUGAAUUAGCCUACAUUAUUAAAAAAUUGUUUUUAGAUUAUAUGUAAAAAUGAGUAUCGAUAAGGUGCAUUUACGGCAUGUUAUGCUUUACGAGUUUCGGAAGGGAA
Molecule: long non-coding RNA, 404 nt
Organism: Harpegnathos saltator (Jerdon's jumping ant)
Lineage: Eukaryota; Metazoa; Arthropoda; Insecta; Hymenoptera; Formicidae
Exons: 3
Source: RefSeq, a predicted model, not a curated record